AGCGAACGCUGGCGGCAGGCCUAACACAUGCAAGUCGAACGAACCUUUCGGGGUUAGUGGCGGACGGGUGAGUAACACGUGGGAACGUGCCUUUAGGUUCGGAAUAACUCAGGGAAACUUGUGCUAAUACCGAAUGUGCCCUUCGGGGGAAAGAUUAAUCGCCUUUAGAGCGGCCCGCGUCUGAUUAGCUAGUUGGUUGAGGUAAUGGCUCACCAAGGCGACGAUCAGUAGCUGGUCUGAGAGGAUGAUCAGCCACAUUGGGACUGAGACACGGCCCAAACUCCUACGGGAGGCAGCAGUGGGGAAUCUUGCGCAAUGGGCGAAAGCCUGACGCAGCCAUGCCGCGUGAAUGAUGAUGGUCUUAGGAUUGUAAAAUUCUUUCACCGGGGACGAUAAUGACGGUACCCGGAGAAGAAGCCCCGGCUAACUUCGUG
RNAcentral lists this ribosomal RNA (434 nucleotides) under uncultured bacterium. RNAcentral describes it as "partial 16S ribosomal RNA". It matches the Rfam family "Bacterial small subunit ribosomal RNA", at positions 29 to 507 of the family's 1533-position model. The record is from RNAcentral.